RNAcentral lists this microRNA (21 nucleotides) under Solanum lycopersicum (tomato). RNAcentral's name for it is "sly-miR164b-3p". Its record names the gene sly-miR164b-3p. The record is from miRBase by way of RNAcentral. Lineage: Eukaryota; Viridiplantae; Streptophyta; Magnoliopsida; Solanales; Solanaceae.
CACGUGUUCUCCUUCUCCAAC